Molecule: ribosomal RNA, 1194 nt
Filed under: Bacillus spizizenii
Lineage: Bacteria; Bacillati; Bacillota; Bacilli; Caryophanales; Bacillaceae
Description: bacterial SSU rRNA
Rfam family: Bacterial small subunit ribosomal RNA
Source: RNAcentral
UCGGGGGGCGUCCUAUAAUGCAGUCGAGCGGAAGAUGGGAGCUUGCUCCCUGAUGUUAGCGGCGGACGGGUGAGUAACACGUGGGUAACCUGCCUGUAAGACUGGGAUAACUCCGGGAAACCGGGGCUAAUACCGGAUGCUUGUUUGAACCGCAUGGUUCAAACAUAAAAGGUGGCUUCGGCUACCACUUACAGAUGGACCCGCGGCGCAUUAGCUAGUUGGUGAGGUAAUGGCUCACCAAGGCAACGAUGCGUAGCCGACCUGAGAGGGUGAUCGGCCACACUGGGACUGAGACACGGCCCAGACUCCUACGGGAGGCAGCAGUAGGGAAUCUUCCGCAAUGGACGAAAGUCUGACGGAGCAACGCCGCGUGAGUGAUGAAGGUUUUCGGAUCGUAAAGCUCUGUUGUUAGGGAAGAACAAGUACCGUUCGAAUAGGGCGGUACCUUGACGGUACCUAACCAGAAAGCCACGGCUAACUACGUGCCAGCAGCCGCGGUAAUACGUAGGUGGCAAGCGUUGUCCGGAAUUAUUGGGCGUAAAGGGCUCGCAGGCGGUUUCUUAAGUCUGAUGUGAAAGCCCCCGGCUCAACCGGGGAGGGUCAUUGGAAACUGGGGAACUUGAGUGCAGAAGAGGAGAGUGGAAUUCCACGUGUAGCGGUGAAAUGCGUAGAGAUGUGGAGGAACACCAGUGGCGAAGGCGACUCUCUGGUCUGUAACUGACGCUGAGGAGCGAAAGCGUGGGGAGCGAACAGGAUUAGAUACCCUGGUAGUCCACGCCGUAAACGAUGAGUGCUAAGUGUUAAGGGGGUUUCCGCCCCUUUAGUGCUGCAGCUAAACGCAUUAAGCACUCCGCCUGGGGGAGUAACGGUCGCAAGACUGAAACUCAAGGGAAUUUGACGGGGACCGCCACAAGCGGUGGGAGCAUGGUGGGUUUAUUUCGAAGCAACGCGUAAGAAUCCUUACUACGGUCUUGGACAUCCUUCUGACAAUCUAGAGAUAGGACGUUCCCCUUUCGGGGGGCAAAAGUGGACAGCGUGGUGCAAUGGUUGUUCGUCUCAGCUCUCUGUCGUGGAAUGUUGGGGUUAGUUCCUCCGCACCACGCCAAACCCUUGAUUCUUUACAUUGCCACAAUCCAGGUUGGCCACUCUAGGUGACUGCUCGGUGCACAAACCGUACGCUACAGAUGUGUGCGA